AAAAUAUAAAUUAUAUAUAUAUAUAUAUAUAUUAAAAGAUUUUAAUUAAAAUAUUAUUUAUUUUAGUUUUAAAAAAAUUAUUUUUUAUGAUAGAGUAUAAGUAUUGUGAAAGAAAUUUUAUUUAUUAUUUAUCAGAAAAAAUUAUUUUUUGUACCUUGUGUAUCAGGGUUAAUUAAAUAAGUUUUAUUUAUAUAAAUUUCUCGAAUUUAAAAGAUUUAUGAGUAUAUACUUAUUAUUGUAAAAUAAAUAUUAUAUAUAUAUUUAUAGAAGUGAAAUGCUAUUCGAUUUUAAAUAUAUCUAGUUUUUAAAGAAAAAAAUUUAAUUUUAUUUAUAAAAAAUAAUUUUUUUAUUUUUAAAAAAUUAUUUUUAUAAUUAUAUGUAUAUAGGGUUGAGCUUAUGUAUUAAAUUGUAAAAUUUUAUAAUUAUAUGAAUAAAUUUAUAGAAUUAAAAGUUUUCAUUUUUAUAGUUUUAUUACUUUUUUAUUUAAUUUUAUUAUUUUUAUAUUAUUUACUUUUUUUAUUUAAUUUAAAUUUAAAAUUUUUUAGGAUUUAUAAUAAUGAUUAAAUUAGUAUAAAAUUUAGUUUAAUUUUAUUAAAUUAUAAAGGUUAAAUAAAGGAAUUCGGCAAAUAAUUUUUUCACCUGUUUAUUAAAAACAUGUCUUUUUGAGUAUAAUUUAAGGUCUGACCUGCCCACUGAUUAUUUAAAUGGCCGCAGUAUUUUGACUGUGCAAAGGUAGCAUAAUCAAUAGUUUUUUAAUUGAAAGCUGGAAUGAAAGGUUGAAUGAAAAAAAAGCUGUCUCUAUUUAAUUUAAUUAAAAAUUUAUUUUUAAGUUAAAAAGCUUAAAUAUUUAUAAAAGACGAGAAGACCCUAUAGAGUUUAAUAAUUAUUUAAUUUAAAUUUUUUAAGUAUUAUUUAAUAGUUAUAUAAUUAUUUAAUUGGGGUGAUUUAAAAAUUUAGUUAACUUUUUAUAUUGUUGUACAAUAAUGAUUGAUUGAAGGAUCCUUAUUUAAAGAUUAAAAGAUUAAAUUACCUUAGGGAUAACAGCGUUAUUUUUUUUUAGAGUUCAAAUUAAAAAAAAAAAUUGCGACCUCGAUGUUGGAUUAAAAUUUAUAUUUGGUGUAGAAGCUAAAUUAUUAAGUCUGUUCGACUUUUAAAAUUUUACAUGAUCUGAGUUUAAACCGGUGUGAGCCAGGUUGGUUUCUAUCUUUAUAAAAUAAAAUAUUUUAGUACGAAAGGACCAAGUAUUUAAUUAAUAAUUUAUUAAUAUGAAUAUUAUUAAUAUAAA
RNAcentral lists this ribosomal RNA (1285 nucleotides) under Curculionoidea sp. 19 KM-2017. RNAcentral's name for it is "16S ribosomal RNA". Lineage: Eukaryota; Metazoa; Arthropoda; Insecta; Coleoptera. The record is from RNAcentral.